GACUACUGGGGUAUCUAAUCCCGUUCGCUCCCCACGCUUUCGCACAUGAGCGUCAGGCUAGUGCCAGGGUGCCGCUUUCGCCACUGGUAUUCCUCCCGAUAUCUACGCAUUCCACCACUACACCGGGAAUUCUACACCCCUCUCACCGCCUCAAGCACAUCAGUUUCCAACGACCCCUCCCAGUUAAGCCGGGAGAUUUCACGUCAGACUUAAUGCGCCGCCUGCGUGCGCUUUACGCCCAGUAAUUCCGGAUAACGCUUGUCACCUACGUAUUACCGCGGCUGCUGGCACGUAGUUAGCCGUGACUUAUUCUCGGGGUACCGUCCUUCCUCUUCCCCCGUAAAAGGAGUUUACAACCCGAAGGCCGUCUUCCUCCACGCGGCGUUGCUGGGUCAGGCUUCCGCCCAUUGCCCAAUAUUCCUCACUGCAGCCCCCCGUAGG
RNAcentral lists this ribosomal RNA (441 nucleotides) under uncultured Caldilinea sp. Its description in RNAcentral is "partial 16S ribosomal RNA". The record is from RNAcentral. Lineage: Bacteria; Bacillati; Chloroflexota; Caldilineae; Caldilineales; Caldilineaceae.